This 3027-nucleotide long non-coding RNA is filed under the name Corvus moneduloides (New Caledonian crow). RNAcentral's name for it is "lncRNA (ENSCMUG00000018258.1)". The record is from RNAcentral. Lineage: Eukaryota; Metazoa; Chordata; Aves; Passeriformes; Corvidae.
UACAUCAGAACCACAAAGAUAUGAUGCCUUGGUUGACACUGGUGCGCAGUGCACAAUAAUCCCAUCACAACAUGUGGGGAUAUGUUGGGUGGAGUCGCGGGAGACAAGCACUCACGGCAUUGUGGUCAGCAAGUCUCGUUUAUUGUAAUAAUCUACACAUACUUAUAGUACUACUAAUUAGCUCAUACAUAUUGCAAAAGCUGAGCUCCUUAUUGGUGGGAGCUAUUCCAUGAGAUCACUGUGGUCUUAUCUUUUCUCUUCCAUAUGGUUUCUUUCUGCUUACUUAUCUGGAUUCACAUCCUGUCAUUUGUACAACUUCUUGCUCAAGGAUUUAGUGUCCUUGCCAAGUCUGCAUCUUUACUAAGCCUGCUAUGUCAUCAUGACCUUUGCUUUUUAGCCAUUCUUCAGAAAGACUCUCAACACUUCCCCCGUUUUCUUUUUGCAUGAUCAUAGUCAUAUUGACUGACUUCAAAAUUAAAUUUUUUAUACAUGACAUUAUACAGCUAAGCAUAAGUAAACUAAGCAAAACAAUUAUUAGCAAUAGCAUUAAAGAUUUGAUCACACUUUUCAUCCAUCCUUCUAGGCCCAUCCACUCUGUAAGUCCUUCUAAUCCGAAAAAUCCGGAGUCCUUUUUUAUCUUUUUGGGAGUGUUCGAUCAAAUUCUUAAUUUCGGCGUGGAUGGACUUAGAAUGAUCUUCAAGAUCCAUGCAGCACAUUCCCUCAAAGUCUUCACAGCCAUGGCCGUGGGCUAAAAGUAAAAAAUCUAUAGCUGCUCUAUUCUGAAGCAGGGCGUGCUGGACUGAACUCAGGUCUUCUGCAAGUUCAGACAACACUCGGCUGGUACCAUUUGCCUGUUUGACUAUCCAACAUGUCAGUUUUUCUAAGUGACGAUGGGCUCAUGCCGCAGCUGCACCAGGAACAAAAAGGGAGGUAAAAAGCACUUCUAAUUUGCUCCAUAACGUGAGGUCAUCCUCACAUUCAGAUGUUAUAGUUUCUGCUAAAGACCUCUUCCAUCGUAUUCGGUGUGUAGCAUUAGGAUGGUGCUGUGGAAGUGCAAGACUCAGUUGGCCAAAGGUACAGGGCCCGCCUAUAGGCUUGGAUGGGAUACCUGACCAGGCAUGAUUCCCACAAAUUAGGAAAAACCCUCUGGGUAACUUUCGAGGGAAAAACGUUCCAGGGGCUGCAAGAGAUCGAUUUCUCACGGUAACGUUGCACCAUUCUAAGUCCCACUGUGAAGCAUUGCCAACAGGAUUAAUCCAGGUGGGGUUGGAUGUAUUCAUUCGACAGCCACUAAGGCUGCCCUCUUGGCAUAAAUUGCGUGAACUAUUAAUAUAGAUACAGGCUGUAGCGUUAAGGGAAUCAACUAGUUCUAUUUCUUGUGGCUCAGGGCCCACCGGGAGUUUAUCAUCCCAGAUAUCAUAGUCUAGUAGGCCAUGAGUAAUAUUUUUUGUGGAAUUCAACGGCCAAAUAGGUUUGAACUGCUUCUGGGUCUCGAUUACAAAGUUGCGCCAUGUAUUAUCUGUUAAUGGUACUCCAACUAAGCAUGUCAAAAAUGGAGUACUGGGUGUGGCUAAGGAGGCACAGAAUGUUGUGGUGUUUAAUUCGCGUGCCAAGGAGACCCAGAUAUUAUCUCUGGGGUCAAACACCUUAGGAGGGUAGGGAAGGUUGUGACCUAUUACUGAGCCUGCGAUUAGCAGCACGAUGCUUAAACCGCCGGCAAACAUGAUCCCACUUUCUUGGUUCAACUUGCCACUGAAUGGGGACCCCGAUGUUUAGUUGGCAGGAGGAUUGCAAAACUACAGAGUAACUAUCUGCUAAGAUCUUUUUUGCUAAAUGCUGUACCGACCACGCUAAUUCUUUUAGCCGCAGAUCUUCAAGAUUUUCAACUAGGUGCAAACUGUCAAUGAUAUUUUUGCUUGUGAGUUGUACUAAUGCUCCUUGAGCCGUCUCACGGUGCCAGUGAAAACUGCAAGACUGACACUAAAACCCUUCUGAUAGAUGUCGCUGGUGGACCCACCACUGUAAAUUACAACCUCCGCAAAGCAAUCUUACCCACGCCUUAUGAUCACUACAAUUACAUGCAAAGCAAGCAGAUUGGCAAAAGCGUAAAAAGUGUCUCUGCAGAUGUGGAAGGAGAUGAUCCUCUAUCUCCUGUUCAGAUUCCACAAGGAAGGUAACGCGAAACCGUUGCUCAACUUCCUGCAGGAUUUGUGAGAUCUUCCUCUGUACUCUUCUCGCCUUCCUCUGUUGUGGGUUGCUCAUCAGUGACAACAGGCUUAGUCCAUUUAGCCGGAACCCAUAGGGGACCUGUCGGAGUGGACACACAUAAAUAACCUCUUCUUUGCUGCAAGGGGGGCGAGAUCCAUUCUAGAACGGAGAUGUCCCCCGUUUUCUUUUGCUGUGUAAUGGCUCCUAAGAGAUGUUCUCCACUGUUCCAGACAGUUAAGGAUAAGGGGGUGUCGGGGUCUAGAUGGUCGACAAAGCCUCUGGAGAUGCAGGAUGUAAUUUGCUGCAAGACUUUAGACUGUUGCGGCGUAAGCGUCACAGGAGUACUUGGGUCUGUGCCCUUUAGCAAAGGACGUAGCUGUUCCAAUAGCAUGUUGGGAAUUCCUGUAACAGGUUUAAGCCAUUGCAGGUCUCCUAGAAGUUUCUGGGCCUCAUUUAGGUUUGAAAUAGAUGCUUGAGUAUGUAACUUUUGAGGUUUUAUUCUCUGAGCGGUAAUAGUCCAUCCUAGAUAUUUCCAUGGAGCAGAAACUUGUAUUUUGUUGGGUGCCACAACAAGGGACCAAGCAGCCAAGGAGGCAACAAUAAUUUGCAUCUGGGCAGGGGUGAAAGGAUCCCUUUGAGCAAAGAGGAUGUCGUCCAUGUAGUGAUAAAUAAUGGCAUCAGGCAUCUGUCUCCGUAAGGGUUGUAAGGCAGCAUCAACAUACAGUUGGCACAAAGUAGGUGAGUUUUUCAUCCCUUGUGGCAAUACAGUCCAUUCAAAUCGCCUGGCUGGUUCUCCUUUAUUCAGGGCAGGUAAGGUAA